CAGACUGAAUAACCGCUUC
RNAcentral lists this small nuclear RNA (19 nucleotides) under Arabidopsis thaliana (thale cress). RNAcentral describes it as "snRNA_19222". Lineage: Eukaryota; Viridiplantae; Streptophyta; Magnoliopsida; Brassicales; Brassicaceae. The record is from RNAcentral.